Molecule: ribosomal RNA, 253 nt
Filed under: uncultured bacterium
Lineage: Bacteria
Description: partial 16S ribosomal RNA
Rfam family: Bacterial small subunit ribosomal RNA
Source: RNAcentral
UACGUAGUGAGCAAGCGUUGUCCGGAAUCAUUGGGCGUAAAGCGCGCGUAGGCGGCUUCGUAAGUCCGUUGUGAAAGUCAAAGGCUCAACCUUUGAAAGCCGAUGGAUACUGUGAGGCUAGAGUCCGGAAGAGGCGAGUGGAAUUCCUGGUGUAGCGGUGGAAUGCGCAGAUAUCAGGAGGAACACCAAUAGCGAAGGCAGCUCGCUGGGACGGUACUGACGCUAAGGCGCGAAAGCGUGGGGAGCGAACAGG